UGGGGAAUAUUGCACAAUGGGCGCAAGCCUGAUGCAGCCAUGCCGCGUGUGUGAAGAAGGCCUUCGGGUUGUAAAGCACUUUCAGCGAGGAGGAAGGUGGUGAGCUUAAUACGCUNAUCAAUUGACGUUACUCGCAGAAGAAGCACCGGCUAACUCCGUGCCAGCAGCCGCGGUAAUACGGAGGGUGCAAGCGUUAAUCGGAAUUACUGGGCGUAAAGCGCACGCAGGCGGUUUGUUAAGUCAGAUGUGAAAUCCCCGGGCUCAACCUGGGAACUGCAUUUGAAACUGGCAAGCUAGAGUCUCGUAGAGGGGGGUAGAAUUCCAGGUGUAGCGGUGAAAUGCGUAGAGAUCUGGAGGAAUACCGGUGGCGAAGCGGCCCCCCUGGACGAAGACUGACGCUCAGGUGCGAAAGCGUGGGGCAGCAAACAGGAUUAGAUACCCUGGUAGUCCACGUUGUAAACGAUGUC
This 467-nucleotide ribosomal RNA is filed under the name uncultured bacterium. RNAcentral's name for it is "partial 16S ribosomal RNA". It matches the Rfam family "Bacterial small subunit ribosomal RNA", at positions 355 to 813 of the family's 1533-position model. The record is from RNAcentral.